AGCCUUCUUGCCAUGUAAUGUCCUGCACUGCCUCAGGGCUCUGCUGUGUCCCCAUGAGCAAAAAGGCUCUAACAAGUCUACAGCCACACCAGCCUAAACGCGCCCACUCUUAUCUGAUCUUGGAAGCUAAGUGAGGUUCGACCUGGUUAGUACUUGGAUGGGAGAAGGCUCUGACCAGAUGUGGCCCCUCAACCUUGGACUUCUCAGCCUCCGUAACUGGGUAUGAGGAAACACUGUUUACGCAUCAUGAAGAGUCUAGUCGCUUACCAACACACGUUAGUGCCAGCAGUGUCCACCUUUCAUCAUAACAACCAAAAAUGCCUCCCUUGUUCAAUUCAGAGAGACCAUAUUCCAGCAGAAACAGAAAUGCCUCAGAUUCUUAACGCUUUAGUGAAGUUGGAUCCACAUUUUGAUCAUUGCAAAUAUUAGAAACAACUUACAUGUUCAACAAGGUAAGAUUGGUUAAAAAAAAUCAGCACAAAUACAACAAAAUACUAUCAGGUCAUUUAAAAAUGUGAAAGAAUGAAAUUUAAGAGCAAAGAAGAAUCUCAUGCUACAGAGAUUUCUCUUACAAAGAAAGUCAUCUAAAUUCUCAUGGAUAGAAUGCAAUAGAUUAAUUAGGAAACAGUAUUUAUAGAAACAGGAUUGUUACUCGUUAAAUUGCCAUAAAAUUAGAACAAGAACAAACACUAGCUUAAAAGAGAAAAGUGCCUUUUCCUGAGGACAUGUGAUACAAUGAUGGCAUUUACAGAAAAAUGAGUUAAUGAUACUGAGGGACUGGCAAAAAGAAAGGAGGCCAUUUUCAUGGAACCAAGGAAAACUAUAUUCAAAGGUGGUAUCUUUUCUCUGCUAUUGGUUUUAUAAUCAUAUACCUAUAGCUACACUUAAAAAUUAAAAUACUUACAGAAAAUAUAACUUUGAUAUUGAUAGUCUGAAACUCUCUACCCCAACCUCUUCUCUUAAUGGAUAAUUAUGUUUAAGAUGGUUUUUUAAAUAACGUGAGGUUUUUUAUUAGUUAAGAACACAAGGAGCAUGUUAGAAUACACUGCAUGUUGUGAAGUUCAGAAAGCCUGUUAUAAAAGAGCAGUAUCUUAUUGCCUUUUCAUAAACAUACGAAUGUUUAAAAUUCAUAUUUAUAUAACAGGAAAAAAGACUAUUAGGAAAUGUUUGAACAUGAAAAUGUAUCAAAAUGUUAAAAGUGGUUUGCUG
This 1209-nucleotide long non-coding RNA is filed under the name Homo sapiens (human). Lineage: Eukaryota; Metazoa; Chordata; Mammalia; Primates; Hominidae. The record is from RNAcentral.